This 254-nucleotide ribosomal RNA is filed under the name uncultured bacterium. RNAcentral describes it as "partial 16S ribosomal RNA". It matches the Rfam family "Bacterial small subunit ribosomal RNA", at positions 524 to 777 of the family's 1533-position model. The record is from RNAcentral.
GACAGAGGUGCCGAGCGUUAGGCGGAAUCACUGGGCUUAAAGCGUGUGUAGGCGGAUCUGUAAGUACCUUGUGAAAUCCCACGGCUCAACCGUGGAACUGCUUGGUAUACUGCGGGUCUUGAGCCACCUAGGGGCAAGUGGAACAAACGGUGGAGCGGUGAAAUGCGUAGAUAUCGUUUGGAACGCCAAUGGUGAAAACAACUUGCUGGGGGUGUGCUGACGCUGAGACACGAAAGCCAGGGGAGCAAACGGGG